This 427-nucleotide ribosomal RNA is filed under the name uncultured prokaryote. RNAcentral describes it as "bacterial SSU rRNA". It matches the Rfam family "Bacterial small subunit ribosomal RNA", at positions 355 to 774 of the family's 1533-position model. The record is from RNAcentral.
UGAGGAAUUUUCCGCAAUGGGCGCAAGCCUGACGGAGCGACGCCGCGUGAGGGAUGACGGCCUUCGGGUUGUAAACCUCUUUUAUUAAGGAAAAAGGCAAUCGUGCUAACACCACGGUUGUUUGAUGGUACUUAUUGAAUAAGCCCCGGCUAACUACGUGCCAGCAGCCGCGGUAAUACGUAGGGGGCGAGCGUUGUCCGGAGUUACUGGGCGUAAAGAGCGUGUAGGCGGUUGGAAAAGUCAGAUGUGAAAUUCUUCGGCUCAACCGAGGAACUGCGUCUGAAACUUUCCGACUGGAGUUCGGGAGGGGCAACUGGAAUUCCUGGUGUAACGGUGAAAUGUGUAGAUAUCAGGAGGAACACCCGUGGCGAAGGCGGGUUGCUGGACCGAAACUGACGCUGAGACGCGAAAGCGUGGGUAGCAAACA